CCUGCGAGCGCUUUUCUUCGCCGCCACCGGCUCCCCCCUCAUCAUCGCUGCAUCCCGACCGCAACCCUACAUGGCGCUACCGGCCGGCACGAAUCUGCGCCGCCCGCCCGACAACCUUCCUCUAGCAACCGCGCAACAUCGGAUCGAGCUAUCCUCGGGUCCCUAACCUCGAUGGUCGUCACCAUCGAGGCAGGUGGUGGACUGGCGGCGUGGACGUGGUGCCUGGCGGGGGAGGGGAGUGCCGCACUGCGAGCCUCGCUCCGGCGGGUUGCACGCUCGCCUCGCCGUUACAGGAGUGGGCAGGCAGUGGUCACCAUGGCGCGGCCUGGGUGCCCGCUGUUCUCCUUGCGCACAUGGUGCCACGGCUGGAUCCGCAGCACCACCGCCCGCCGCCCGUGUCGGCGCUCCCACAGCCACGUUCCCGUCCACCGUCGCCCGCACCCGCCUGCGCUCAUCCAUAGCGGCGUUCUUAAUGGCUUCAGUGACCACGCCGCCUCGGCUGCGACCCAGGCCUGCUUGGCCGCUGGAUGGAUGGAUACCGGCACUACAGGGCACAGACUUCAUGCUCGUGCCGACGGACUUCAUCCUUGAUGCCCUGGCUGCGACCCAUAUUGAUUGGCCACCGGCUGGAAGGGGACGUCCUGCUCCUCCCGACUAAGCUUGAUCGAUGUGGGGCGGUGGUACAGCCUGGUGUUUAGCAGGACCACAUGAGCGGUGACUAGCAUCCAGUAGGAGGCAGCAAGAAGCAGCGAAAACUCUGAGCUAGCUGCUAGCAAUGCACCCCUCCGCUCUCAUCUAAGUACAUGGAUUUUCAAUGGCCAAACUACUCUCUUGUUUCUUUCUCUAGCGUUUCCAGUUUUCACUAACAAUCCGUAUUUGGUAAACCGUGAACCAUGUUCAUGAGUAUCCGCCCACAACCUGUUUGAUGAUAUGCACAUGAAGGAUUGAGAUACAUUCUAAUUUUUAGGUCAAGCUCUUACCUCUGUUUAGAAAAUCAAUAUGAAGAAACAGGUGUAUCUGGUGUAUGAUCUACACUUAGAACAAGUGUAUCUGUUGUUCCAAGCUGCCGGCAUUGACGGCCAAAGAGUCGGCGAGGGUCCACGGUUCAUUUGUUUUCGUGGGGAUUAUUCAGUACAAUGCGAUCUACACUGAAGCCAAUCCGAUCCAGGUGAAAUCGGAAGUUGGUAGAUUAUUCCGACGACGGGGCUUUUACUUGUGCGGCUCUUACCAUUCCAUAGCUCUCAAGGCAUCAGGUCUGCUUUAGAGACAAACUCUCGCUCGGUUUAGUUUCCAUGUUGUGUUAUAUUCCGAUGAACUAUAUUCAUUACAAACGGUAAGCUGAAGUAGAUUAAUUAAAAAGGAUAAUAAAUUUGCUCAA
Molecule: long non-coding RNA, 1378 nt
Organism: Triticum dicoccoides
Lineage: Eukaryota; Viridiplantae; Streptophyta; Magnoliopsida; Poales; Poaceae
Exons: 3
Source: RefSeq, a predicted model, not a curated record